This 731-nucleotide ribosomal RNA is filed under the name uncultured bacterium. RNAcentral's name for it is "bacterial SSU rRNA". It matches the Rfam family "Bacterial small subunit ribosomal RNA", at positions 8 to 748 of the family's 1533-position model. The record is from RNAcentral.
AGAGUUUGAUCCUGGCUCAGGACGAACGCUGGCGGCGUGCUUAACACAUGCAAGUCGAACGAGGUCCACUGAGUAGCAAUACAAGGGAAGACCUAGUGGCGAACGGGUGAGUAUCACGUGAGAAACCAACCCCGGUCUCUGGGAUAACAGUUGGAAACGACUGCUAAUACUGGAUGUCGUCGUACCCUCGCAUGGGGGGAUGACGAAAGGGUUACCGGAUCGGGACGGUCUCGCGGCCUAUCAGCUUGUUGGGGAGGUAACGGCUCACCAAGGCUUCGACGGGUAGCUGGUCUGAGAGGAUGAUCAGCCACACUGGGACUGAGACACGGCCCAGACUCCUACGGGAGGCAGCAGUGGGGAAUCUUGCGCAAUGGGCGAAAGCCUGACGCAGCAACGCCGCGUGCGGGAUGAAGGCCUUCGGGUUGUAAACCGCUUUUAACAGGAACGAAAAUGACGGUACCUGUAGAAUAAGGUGCGGCCAACUACGUGCCAGCAGCCGCGGUGACACGUAGGCACCAAGCGUUGUCCGGAUUUAUUGGGCGUAAAGAGCUCGUAGGCGGUUCAGUAAGUCGGGUGUGAAAACUCUGGGCUUAACCCAGAGACGCCACUCGAUACUACUGUGACUAGAGUUCGGUAGGGGAGCGGGGAAUUCCUAGUGUAGCGGUGAAAUGCGCAGAUAUUAGGAGGAACACCGGUGGCGAAGGCGCCGCUCUGGGCCGAUACUGACGCUG